AUGUAUGCUUCGUCUGUUGUGCAUGUCGAUGUGGGCGAGUCCAUCGCCGUGCUUGCGACUCCGGUGCUACAGCUCAUGCCCGAGCUUCGGGAUAUAUGUUCGAGCCCUGCUUCUCCUCUGUCCUUGGAGCGGUUGGAAGUGGACUCGUCGACAACCUUGUGUGAGGGGCAUGUUUUGCCUCUGUCGUGUGAGCAACUGGAGGCGCCGAAGUCCAUUGUGUCGAUGGUUCCUGUGGUGGAGGAUGAUGUGUUGGGGGUUCCUCGGGCCGAUGAUGUCGAUGCGGCCGGUUUGUUGGUGCCUGCCCCUAGUAGGAGCCCCUUGGUUGAUGACAACUACAUCAAGAAGUACAAUGAGUUCUAUGAUUUUCUUGACAAAUGGGUGGCGGAUCAGUCUGGACCCGGCAUCACAAGUGGUUGCCUCCCCAAGAAGAAACCCAAUAGGGAGAAAGCAAAGAGAAACAAAAGCAAGAAGGGCGGUGUUAUUCGGAAGACGCCCACGAUUUCAUGA
Molecule: ribosomal RNA, 507 nt
Filed under: Triticum aestivum (bread wheat)
Lineage: Eukaryota; Viridiplantae; Streptophyta; Magnoliopsida; Poales; Poaceae
Description: partial small subunit ribosomal RNA
Source: RNAcentral